RNAcentral lists this ribosomal RNA (482 nucleotides) under uncultured bacterium. RNAcentral describes it as "partial 16S ribosomal RNA". It matches the Rfam family "Bacterial small subunit ribosomal RNA", at positions 28 to 507 of the family's 1533-position model. The record is from RNAcentral.
GAUGAACGCUAGCGGCAGGCCUAAUACAUGCAAGUCGAACGAGAUUAAGAGGCUUGCUUCUUAUGAAAGUGGCGCACGGGUGCGUAACGCGUAUGCAACCUACCUUAAUCAGGGGGAUAGCCCGAAGAAAUUCGGAUUAAGACCGCAUAAAAACACAGGAUAGCAUUAUCCAAUGUUCAAAUAUUUAUAGUAUUAAGAUGGGCAUGCGUGUCAUUAGCUAGUUGGCGGGGUAACGGCCCACCAAGGCGACGAUGACUAGGGGAUCUGAGAGGAUGACCCCCCGCACUGGUACUGAGACACGGACCAGACUCCUACGGGAGGCAGCAGUAAGGAAUAUUAGUCAAUGGAGGGAACUCUGAACCAGCCAUGCCGCGUGCAGGAAGACAGCCCUCUGGGUCGUAAACUGCUUUUAUUCGAGAAUAAACCUUUCUACGUGUAGGAAGCUGAAUGUACCGAAGGAAUAAGGAUCGGCUAACUCCGUG